CCUACGGGAGGCAGCAGUGGGGGAUAUUGCACAAUGGGGGAAACCCUGAUGCAGCGACGCCGCGUGGGCGAAGAAGUAUUUCGGUAUGUAAAGCCCUAUCAGCAGGGAAGAAGAUAUGACGGUACCUGAGUAAGAAGCACCGGCUAAAUACGUGCCAGCAGCCGCGGUAAAACGAAUGGUGCAAGCGGUAUCCGGAUUUACUGGGUGUAAAGGGAGCGCAGGCGGCACGGCAAGCCUGAUGUGAAAGCCCGCGGCCCAACCGCGGGACUGCAUUGGGAACUACCGGGCUGGAGUGCCGGAGAGGUAGGCGGAAUUCCUAGUGUAGCGGUGAAAUGCGUAGAUAUUAGGAGGAACACCAGUGGCGAAGGCAGCCUACUGGACGGUGACUGACGCUGAGGCUCGAAAGCGUGGGGAGCAAACAGGAUUAGAUACCCCAGUAGUC
Molecule: ribosomal RNA, 442 nt
Filed under: uncultured bacterium
Lineage: Bacteria
Description: partial 16S ribosomal RNA
Rfam family: Bacterial small subunit ribosomal RNA
Source: RNAcentral